Molecule: ribosomal RNA, 1023 nt
Filed under: Salmonella enterica
Lineage: Bacteria; Pseudomonadati; Pseudomonadota; Gammaproteobacteria; Enterobacterales; Enterobacteriaceae
Also listed under: 1 other name
Description: partial 23S ribosomal RNA
Rfam family: Bacterial large subunit ribosomal RNA
Source: RNAcentral
CCCCGGUAAACGGCGGCCGUAACUAUAACGGUCCUAAGGUAGCGAAAUUCCUUGUCGGGUAAGUUCCGACCUGCACGAAUGGCGUAAUGAUGGCCAGGCUGUCUCCACCCGAGACUCAGUGAAAUUGAACUCGCUGUGAAGAUGCAGUGUACCCGCGGCAAGACGGAAAGACCCCGUGAACCUUUACUAUAGCUUGACACUGAACAUUGAGCCUUGAUGUGUAGGAUAGGUGGGAGGCUUUGAAGUGUGGACGCCAGUCUGCAUGGAGCCGACCUUGAAAUACCACCCUUUAAUGUUUGAUGUUCUAACGUGGACCCGUAAUCCGGGUUGCGGACAGUGUCUGGUGGGUAGUUUGACUGGGGCGGUCUCCUCCUAAAGAGUAACGGAGGAGCACGAAGGUUGGCUAAUCCUGGUCGGACAUCAGGAGGUUAGUGCAAUGGCAUAAGCCAGCUUGACUGCGAGCGUGACGGCGCGAGCAGGUGCGAAAGCAGGUCAUAGUGAUCCGGUGGUUCUGAAUGGAAGGGCCAUCGCUCAACGGAUAAAAGGUACUCCGGGGAUAACAGGCUGAUACCGCCCAAGAGUUCAUAUCGACGGCGGUGUUUGGCACCUCGAUGUCGGCUCAUCACAUCCUGGGGCUGAAGUAGGUCCCAAGGGUAUGGCUGUUCGCCAUUUAAAGUGGUACGCGAGCUGGGUUUAGAACGUCGUGAGACAGUUCGGUCCCUAUCUGCCGUGGGCGCUGGAGAACUGAGGGGGGCUGCUCCUAGUACGAGAGGACCGGAGUGGACGCAUCACUGGUGUUCGGGUUGUCAUGCCAAUGGCACUGCCCGGUAGCUAAAUGCGGAAGAGAUAAGUGCUGAAAGCAUCUAAGCACGAAACUUGCCCCGAGAUGAGUUCUCCCUGAGACUUAGAGUCUCCUGAAGGAACGUUGAAGACGACGACGUUGAUAGGCCGGGUGUGUAAGCGCAGCGAUGCGUUGAGCUAACCGGUACUAAUGAACCGUGAGGCUUAACCUUACAACGCCGA